Sinocyclocheilus anshuiensis is the source of this 954-nucleotide long non-coding RNA. RefSeq lists it as uncharacterized. The record is from RefSeq and is a predicted model, not a curated record. The transcript is spliced from 4 exons. NCBI's taxonomy places the organism in Eukaryota, Metazoa, Chordata, Actinopteri, Cypriniformes, Cyprinidae.
UGGUGGAAGGCGGAAGGGUAUGAUAAUGUGAAUGUUUGUCGCAGUUUCUCACACAUUCAGUUUGCGGUGAGUAUUUUCCCCAGUUAACAGGUGUAGAAGUUCUUAACUUUGCCCCGCUAGGUCCACUUUCGUGCAGUUUUUAGCUCCAACCCUGAUCAAACUGUUACUUUUGCCACUGGCUUCAAAAUAUAAACCUCAUUGAUGCAAAAUAAAGUUUCAGAGGUACACAUGAAAAUGUAUAAAUGUUCAUUUUGUGAUGUUGUGAAGUUUCAACUCACGAAGUAUCUCAUCUCACCUGCAAGUGCAACAUUAACAUUAACACCAAGCAGAUUUAAGUGUUACCUGUAACAUUGAGAGAUAUUUUAUAUCACAGAAUGUAUUAUUCUAGGUAAAUAUAUUGUACUUCUGUGGUAUGUCUCUCUCUUAUUUAUCAAUUAUUUCUUCUUUGGAAUAUGAACUUUUUUUAUUAUUAUUAUUUCUUACAGAGCAGCAUACUGAUGGGGAGACUCUGCUGGGUCUCAGAAAGGAUGGUGGAAAGACUUUUCCUCCUGGAAACUGACGAGCCUCAGAUAUCUUGUACUCAACAAGAACCCUGUGACUCAUUUGUUGCCCAUCCUUGGCCAGCAGUAUACAACCUGCCUGUCUUUCCCCCUGAAUUGCAAAAUUGUUGUUUGACAGCAUCACCAAGCACACCUGGUACAGUAUUGUAUUUCAUUGUAUUUUAUAAUAGUUAAAUGUCAAACGUGUUGGUUGUUGGGUACUGAAAUAAUUAUAUUUUAUAUUUUUUAGGUACCCAAAUCAUAAAAUGUAUGAAGAUGUUCUGGGUUGUUUGAUCACGCGCUUUCCAUUUUUGAAGGAUGACAGCUCCUCUGGUUAUGAUACCUUGUUGGAAUGCCUUAGAAACAAAUUUUAAAAAGAAAGGAUUCCCUUGGUUAGCUCAUCAAUCGUCCUGCA